RNAcentral lists this ribosomal RNA (491 nucleotides) under uncultured bacterium. RNAcentral's name for it is "partial 16S ribosomal RNA". It matches the Rfam family "Bacterial small subunit ribosomal RNA", at positions 29 to 506 of the family's 1533-position model. The record is from RNAcentral.
AGUGAACGCUGGCGGUAGGCCUAACACAUGCAAGUCGAACGGCAGCACAGUAAGAGCUUGCUCUUACGGGUGGCGAGUGGCGGACGGGUGAGGAAUACAUCGGAAUCUACUUUUUCGUGGGGGAUAACGUAGGGAAACUUACGCUAAUACCGCAUACGACCUACGGGUGAAAGCAGGGGAUCUUCGGACCUUGCGCGAUUGAAUGAGCCGAUGUCGGAUUAGCUAGUUGGCGGGGUAAAGGCCCACCAGGGCGACGAUCCGUAGCUGGUCUGAGAGGAUGAUCAGCCACCCGGGAACUGAGACCCGGGCCAGACUCCUACGGGAGGCAGCAGUGGGGAAUAUUGGACAAUGGGCGCAAGCCUGAUCCAGCCAUACCGCGUGGGUGAAGAAGGCCUUCGGGUUGUAAAGCCCUUUUGUUGGGAAAGAAAAGCAGCAGGUUAAUACCCCGCUGUUCUGACGGAACCCAAAGAAUAAGCACCGGCUAACUUCGU